GAUGAACGCUAGCGAUAGGCUUAACACAUGCAAGUCGAGGGGCAGCACAAGGUAGCUUGCUAUCUGGGUGGCGACCGGCGCACGGGUGCGUAACGCGUAUGCAACUUGCCCUAUACAGGAGGAUAACCCGUCGAAAGACGGACUAAUACUGCGUAUGCUCACAACUUGGCAUCAAGUGGUGAGGAAAGAAAUUCGGUAUAGGAUAGGCAUGCGUCCCAUUAGCUUGUUGGUGAGGUAACGGCUCACCAAGGCAACGAUGGGUAGGGGAACUGAGAGGUUUAUCCCCCACACUGGUACUGAGACACGGACCAGACUCCUACGGGAGGCAGCAGUGAGGAAUAUUGGUCAAUGGGCGCGAGCCUGAACCAGCCAAGUCGCGUGAAGGAUGACUGUCUUAUGGAUUGUAAACUUCUUUUAUACGGGAAUAACAAGAGUCACGUGUGACUCCCUGCAUGUACCGUAUGAAUAAGCAUCGGCUAACUCCGUG
Molecule: ribosomal RNA, 487 nt
Filed under: uncultured bacterium
Lineage: Bacteria
Description: partial 16S ribosomal RNA
Rfam family: Bacterial small subunit ribosomal RNA
Source: RNAcentral